This 655-nucleotide long non-coding RNA is filed under the name Homo sapiens (human). RNAcentral describes it as "HSALNT0318805". The record is from RNAcentral. Lineage: Eukaryota; Metazoa; Chordata; Mammalia; Primates; Hominidae.
GGCGGGGCCUCGGACCCCGCCCUCCGCCUUCCCCGGGAUUCCGUGCUGUGCGGGCCGGGCGCUGGCGUUGGAUUGAGAUUCAUGGACUAUCUGCCAUGCCCCAAACACCAGGCAGAGUGCUAAGGGGACACAAAGAUGAAUAAGAUGUGACCCCUGCUCUCUAGGAUCCUGUCGCAUAGAUGAAGAGAUAGAACAUAUCCAUAAAAAGAUAACUAAUGACCGACAUUGCGUGCUGCCGACACGUGUUAUGGUCCUGCGGGCUACAGAAAUUCAGAGGAGGAAGACAGAUGACUGCAGUGUGGCAGCUGCUCCUCGGGCACUUACAGGAGCUUGUUAGGAUGAGGACAGAAGACUUCAUAGCACAGAGGGAACUGUGACACCAGCUUUAUAUCACACGAUAGAAAAUACCCAGAAAUAAGGACGAUGAAGACAGUGACGCAAAGACGGACAGCAUUGUUGGAGUAGCUGUCUUCCAUUGCUAAUGUUCUGAUGUGAUCAUCGUAUACCUCCCACUUGCCUGUAAUCCUGGAGCUUCCCUGGUUGUUUCCCCUUGCAGUCUGAUUCUUGAGCGUUCAUUAUAUUCUGCAGGCCACCCCAUAUGCUUCCAAUAAAGUCCCUUUGGACUUAAGUUAGAGUCAGUUUCAGUGGCAUGCCA